CUUUUGACAGCCGUGAGCUUCCCCGCCAGGAACUUACUGGGGCUGCAUCACCCUAGAAACGUGGCUUUGGGCUGUGGAAACGCUGCCUCUGUGGAAGUCUCUCCUCGCGGGGGUGGACGGGUCGCUGCGCGCCCAGCGUUCUUCUGCGGUUCUCACAGCCCGCCGCCGCCGCCGCCUCGGGGACCUUUGCGGGGAGGCCUCAGGCACGUCCUCGACCUCAGUUGCCACGUGCACAUGCUGGUGCCUUCCAGGUCGGUCUUUCUCCACCAGACUCCACCUGGAACUUUCUUCCUUUUCGUCCUGUGCUGGCCUAACCCCUGCUCGGCCUCGGCCCUCAGCUGCCGGCUCUAACAAAGCCUCUGUCUUUCCCAGACCCCUGUGACCAGGCUGGAGUAUAGUGGCAUGAUCAUAGAUCACUGCAGCCUCAAACUCCUGGGCUCAAGCGAUCCUCCCACCUCAGCCUCCAUAUAGCUGGUGGGGACCAAGUUUCUAACACAUGAAUGUUGGGAGACACAUUCAGACCAUCGCAGUGGCCUUAUAAAAAGAGACACAAGAGCUUGCUCUCUGCCAUGUGAGAAUACCACAAGAAGACUGUCCUCAGCAAAUCAGAAAGCGGGUGGACCCUCAUCAGACACCAGAUGUGCCUGCACCUUGAUCUUGGACUUGCCAGCCUUCAGAACAGUAAGAAAGAAAUGUGUGUUGUUUAAGCCACCCAGUCUAUGGUAACUUGCUAUAGCAGCCCACUAGGAGACCCCAAGAUAUUUAAAAACUCAUCAGCACCUGCUUUCUGCAUCUGGACCCUGAUCUUCUGGUGGGUUUACCAGUUACUUGUAGAGUGUCCCUGUGAUAGUUUUAGGUGUCAACUUGACAGGAUUGAGGGAUGCCUAGAUGGCUGGGGAAGCACUGUUUCUGAGAAGGACCAUGUUUUUGGAGGAGACUGUUUUAUGAGUGAAUUUCAGGGGACACAUUCAGAUCAUGGCAGUGGCAUUAUAAAGAGAGACACAAAAGCUUGCUCUCUCUCUCUGCCAUGUAAGACUACCACACAAAGACUGCCAUCUGCAAACCAGAAGCAGGUGGGCUUUCCUCAGACACCAGAUCUGCCUGCACCUUGAUCUUGGACUUGCCAGCCUUCAGAACUCUAAGAAAGAAAUGGUAGCAUGGCUUGGUCUAAGUUGGAAGGCCUGAGAAACAAGCACAUGGUGGAACUGAGUUCAAGGAUAAAGACUUGAGAAUACCUGCUCAGUGGACUGAGUAGGGAAGAUCAACCCUCAAUGUAGGCAGGCACUAUCCAAUCACCUGAGGGCCCAGAUGGAACAAAAAGGUGGAAGAAGGGUGAAUUCUCUCUUCCAGAGCUGUGACACCCUUCUCAUGCCCUUGUACCACACAACUCUAGGUCCUUUGGCCUUUGGACUCUGACACUUGCACCAGUGGCCCUCUGGGGCUCUCAAGCCUUUAGCCUUGAACUUAGUUACACCAUGUGCCUCCUUGUUUCUCAGGCCUUCCAACUUGGAUCAGGCCAUGCCACCGGCUUCUCUGAUUCUCCAGCUUGCAGAUGGUAUAUUGUGACCCUGGCAUUUAAUAACUAUGACUUUGGUCUUAAGCAAUUUUCUUCCUCUGUGGAUUGAUAUUUACAUAUCAAUGUGGAUAAUAAUUUCUUACCACGGUAACUGUUGUGAGGUAAAAAUGAGUUAACAUAAGUAAAACCGAGCACAUGCAAACCAUCCGAAAUGGUUAAUACUUACUAUUUGUACUUGAAGAAAUAAAUGUUUUUGACAAUAAACUUCUUGUGCAGUUUUCCUCA
Molecule: long non-coding RNA, 1801 nt
Filed under: Homo sapiens (human)
Lineage: Eukaryota; Metazoa; Chordata; Mammalia; Primates; Hominidae
Description: non-protein coding LINC00847:24
Source: RNAcentral